This is a long non-coding RNA of Bos taurus (domestic cattle), 2022 nucleotides long. The record is from Ensembl. NCBI's taxonomy places the organism in Eukaryota, Metazoa, Chordata, Mammalia, Artiodactyla, Bovidae.
GACAGGGGAGAAGGUUGUGAUCAAGUUUCCCUGAACUUCUUCCCCAGUGAGAAAGACAUUCCCAACUCCCUCCUCUCCCUGAGGGAAAAAUAGAAUCAUAAAAUAGGGCUAAUAGUAACUCAUAGUUUGCCUCGUUGGAAAAGAUCAAAGAAUGAACAGGACAUGGGAGAAUAAUCAGAGAAGUGUUUAUUACUUGUAAAUAGAUGAGAGAUUAAGCAGGAGACCAGCAGUUUAGGAAGGAAAAAGGAGGGUUUCUUUUAUUUUUUUGUCCGGAGGAGGAGAGACAGGGAAAGUCAGCCACGGUGGGAGAAGGGGCUCCUUUUUAAGUUUUCGCGUCUUCCCCGUCCUCUCCCCACCCCAAAUCUGGUCUUCCCAUCCGUGAAAAUGCCUCCCCUUUUUCCCUUUCUUCGCCUCACCUUCGGUCACUCCGGUGUAGGGAUGACCCGCGUGUUGCCGACCCCGGUGCCUCCUCCCAGAGGCCGCUCGGGUGCCCGCUGGGGCUGCCGGAGUGCUGGGGCCUCUGUCUGGGGGUGGGGAGAAAAUCAGACCCAACAGCCCACUGCGGGCUGGGGGUCGCCGGCCUUGCGGUUCCACGCGGGCCGAGUGGCGGAAAGUUGCAGCCGAAUCCGCUUCUCCGGCGCUUCUGGGCCGCCAGCGGGGCCAGGUCUUUGGGGGGAGAGGCUGGAGUUCCCCGCCGAGCCUGCAGCCUGGGCAUUGCGCUUCCUCGGGUCUCCAUCCUGACCUUCCCAGACAUACACACUUCAUGCCGGUGAAGAGACAAAAAAGCCGAGCGGCCCGGCUCCGAGCCCAGGCGUGGAGUGCUCACUCCAACCCGGAAUAUUUUUCUAUCAGAGAAUAAUGGAGCACAAAAUAAUUCAGCAGAGCGGAUGGGCAGGAGCGCAGUGUGGGAGCCCCGCGCGGUGGGCCGGCUGCACAGCGGGCCGCGCCGCCCAGCCCCGGAGGACCAUUUCGUUGGAGUGUAGAGCGAGGCCGCAGCCCAGCCCUGACCCAGCAGCCCGAGGGCCAGUCUCUAAAUGACGGCCCUUCAAGAGGACUCGGAAAUGCAAAAAGGGAGCCGAAAAAUUUAAACAGUCUGAAGGCUGCAUGUCCUCCUCCAGGCCGGAUCCUGAAACCGACCGAUGGGCCUUUCCGGGCUCCCUCAUUUUUUAUGGGGUUGCGGCACGCAGUGAAAGACGGCUCCCCAGAUCCCAGGAGUGCCCGGAUCUGUCCAGGCAAGUUUGUCUGAGAGUGCAGGUGGCACCAAGACAUUGCCUCCGGGUUUAAGGGGAUAGAGGAAGGUGGUACCCUAGUUUCAGGCACUUACAUGUUCCUCUCGGUCUGGAUUCCCCCAGCCUGGGAAUCCAGGCUUGCUUUUGGAAUGACUCUUAUCUAAGGAGGGAGGCUUGGAAGGGAUGUGGGUAGGCUUAUCAAGGGGAAACUUGGGCCUGAGCUAACUGGAUCCCUUAGGGGUCCCAGGGACCCCAGAGAAGGAAAGGGAACAGUUUCUGGAGGAAGGAAAGAAGGCACACAGGGAGCUCUGUUUGUGAAGAAAUGAUGUUCUUGUUAUUAUUGAGGUUAAUGAUGGUAAUGAUUGGGUAUGGCUGGGUCAGCCUGAAAGAAGAGCUCUCCACAGCCCUUUCUCACAGAGGCUUCUCUGGAGAAGUCACUGGCUCUCCGACCUAGCUGUAAUUGGGGAGAAUAAAAUGAAGACCUUUCCUCCCCUGCCCUUUCCUCCCCCACUCCUUAAGAACUCCAGGAAAAAAGGGGACACCUUGUAAAAUCUUCAUCACCCACCCCAAUAAUUUCCCCUCUGCUCUCUCCAGUAAAACGCGUCAUUUGGGGGCACUGGGCUUUUGCCAGGCACCCUUCUUAUGAAGUUCAGCAAGCAGUUCCUGGGCCAAGUCCCCAAUAAUGAAUUCUGUUUCUGACUCUGGAGGAGACCCAGGAUUCUCUUGCCUGCUCCAUGGAAUUCUCCCUCUAUCCUUGUCUCUGCCUUCCUUGGUCUAGGGUGCCUCAACCCAU